This 1064-nucleotide long non-coding RNA is filed under the name Panax ginseng (ginseng). RNAcentral describes it as "long non-coding RNA (PGIN_LNC005135)". The record is from RNAcentral. Lineage: Eukaryota; Viridiplantae; Streptophyta; Magnoliopsida; Apiales; Araliaceae.
UGAGUCAGAGUUAAGCUGAUGUGUAAAAAAAAGAAUAUUUUAAUUUUUGAAUUAAACAUUUAUUAUACAUUAAGGGGUACAAUUGUCAAAUCACGUUAUAUUAAAUAUUAAUACCAAUUAAAAACAAUAAAAGGCUAAAUAAAACAAACAAAUACGAAUCAAAUCUCUCCUCCCCCAACUUCGAUCAAAGCAAUCAAAGUCUAAAACCAUCAGAAAACUAGAGUACUCAACUAGAUUGGAUUAAGCAGAGGCAAGUGUAAGCUUGUCAGUUAAAGUGGGACAGAGUACAUAAAUCAGAUAAAGGGUGUAAAUCUGGAUCUGUUGAACAUCAUCACCACCACCGGAGGCCAUUCAAUCCACUGCCAUUCAAUCCAACCACCGGCGCCGAUUUUUUCGUACCCCACCCACUGUAUUCAAGGGAAAUUUACAUGGUGGGUUUCUCUGAUUUGAGAAGAGAGAGAGCAGCUCGGGACUUUCUUUUCUUUUUUUUCGCCGACGCCGACACUGUCCCUUCAUCCACUGUCCCAGCCCGACAAACUUCGAGUCUCCAACCUCCCCGUCAUCCGGAUCCGGACCCUCAAUUAACGUCGCAACAGACCCGACAUUGACGACCUGCUCCUCCCCGGACUUUUUGCACGCGACCUCGUCGGCGAUAAUCCCCGUACUACUUCUUCUUUCAAAGAUGAGAAAACCCCCUGUUUUUUCUCUAUUUCCUAAAACCCUAACAAAUCAAAUAUUGUAUAUAAACAACAUAAGAGUGGCGGUGCAUUGGAGAUCAUCCAAAUCUGAGAAUAAAAGGAACCUCAACUGAAAUUGCACCUUUUGAUUUGUGAAUAGGAGAUUGAGAGAAUGUGAGAUUGGGUUUGUAAAAGAGCAGACUUGUGACCUUUUGAUUUGUGAAUAGGAGAGAGAGUGAGAUUGUUUCUUAAUGUUUUUAAUCUGUUUGUUUUAUUUUAAUUAGAAAUGUUAAUUUAAGUUUUGACUAUUUUGCCCUUUAUUUAAAUAGAGUUAUUUAUUUAAUGAUUAAAAAAUAGUUUUUUUUGCCACAUAAGCUUUUUAAGGCC